RNAcentral lists this unclassified non-coding RNA (1495 nucleotides) under Hevea brasiliensis (rubber tree). Lineage: Eukaryota; Viridiplantae; Streptophyta; Magnoliopsida; Malpighiales; Euphorbiaceae. The record is from RNAcentral.
AAAAAAAAAAAAAAAAGAAAACAUGUUCUCCAGACUCCAGAGUACUGAAUAAUUGUACUCUGUAAAAUGGCACUUCUCUUCUAUUUCAUGCGUGCUUGAAAAAUGUUGUCAAGGAAGAAUAAUUAAAAGCUUUUCAAAACAUCAGGUAUUUAAAUUAAAAAAAAAAAGGAAGAAAAUCAUUGCAUGAAUUUAUUCCUUUUUUUUUUUUUAAUUUGUUAUUGAUUAACACAAUGAGGGUUAUGAGUAUAAGAGCAGCAGUGAGCAGUGAGCAGUUGCCCUUGAGAAGCUCCCCCUAUUCCUCUUUUCAGAAGCUGUCCGCAGAAGCCCAUCCUUUUUUCUCCAACUCCAUUCGCAAUGUCUGUAAUUUAUGCCAGAGUAAGCAAAAUUACUCACAAAGAAGAUGAGGGAAAACCCAAUUUUCAGCAAAAAAUUUACCUUUAUUCUCUUUCUAUUGUAAUCAAAAUCGAAGUUUCCCAACCUUGAAGCAGAUCGAUACUCCACGAUGGAGUCAUUGCCUGGUGGAAACCAAAAUUCAACAUCAUCCACCAACCCCAAAAUGGGACUUUGGUACUCCACAUGCAAAUAGUCAUCCUUCUUUUCUGCAAUCCUCGGUGUAAAUUUAUCUGGUUUUGUUGACUUUAUCUGCAAUCAAAGGCAGCCGAUUUCACGCUUGGAAAGUAUCAACUUGUUUUUCCUCGUAUGAAAAGGCUUAAUCAAAGGGCUAGACUCUAGAGUAAUGAAAUUACACACAAAUGAAAAUGGGUCAUCUAUUAUGUAAUCUUUCAAAAAUAUUUUUGAUGGGAUCUGAAUAUAAGAUUUUUACCACUUGAAGAAGCUCCUCCAUUGCCACUUCUCUGCUCACAGGCUUCUUUCUACUGAUAUUAUAAUUCCUAUGAGAAAAAUAUAUAUCAACAUAUGAAUCACGUUUUCAUUGACUGGGUCAGAACAUGGUUGGUGGGCAUCCAUCAUAAGCAAUAAUAGUUAGUAGAACUGUCAAAUUAGUUUUCAUCUUCUUUUUCUUUUUCAUCCGUAUUACCGCAGACUCUAGAACCUUACCAAGGAGGAGCAUAAUGAGUAAGAUCGCUGAUAUUCUCCGAAGUUGAUAUGCAAUUCUUGGUAGCUGGACACAGAGCUAGUGCUUGUUGGUUCUUCUGCACCCCCAAGUAUUCUGGCUUUUUUCCACUGUAAUCAAACACCAAUUUGUUCAUUUCAUAUAUAAAGCAUUAUCCUUCUCCGAGAUCCGAAUGGCAAAUUAUUGGGUCUCGCUGGAAUGGGCAAUGCACGAAAUUAAGUGGCAAGGAGAUACCUGAGAUUGAAAAUGGCCCCAACUACUGCUAAUUCGCUGCUCCUCAGUAUAAUUUCCCUUCGAGCAAUUUGGUCACUGGGUUUGUUGCUGUUAUCUUCAUCGUUUUGCUGAUGAGAAAGGAGGAUUCGAGGACGGGCUGAACCGAUAUGGUGUUUGCUACGAGUCUUAUAAUAAUAGCCGCGAUAGGCG